GAUGAACGCUGGCGGCGUGCCUAAUACAUGCAAGUCGAGCGAACGGACGCGACGCUUGCUUCUCUGAUGUUAGCGGCGGACGGGUGAGUAACACGUGUAUAACCUACCUAUCAGACUGGGAUAACUUCGGGAAACCGGAGCUAAUACCGGAUAAUAUUUUGAACCGCAUGGUUCAAAAGUGAAAGACGGUCUUGCUGUCACUUAUAGAUGGAUCCGCGCUGCAUUAGCUAGUUGGUAAGGUAAAGGCUUACCACGGCAACGAUGCAUAGCCGACCUGAGAGGGGGAUAGGCCACACGGGAACUGAGACGCGGUCCAGACUCCUACGGGAGGCAGCAGUAGGGAAUCUUCCGCAAUGGUCGAAAGCCUGACGGAGCAACGCCGCGUGAGUGAUGAAGGUCUUCGGAGCGUAAAACUCUGUUACUAGGGAAGAACAUAUGUGUAAGUAACUGUGCACAGCUUGACGGUACCUAAUCAGAAAGCCACGGCUAACUACGUG
RNAcentral lists this ribosomal RNA (497 nucleotides) under uncultured bacterium. Its description in RNAcentral is "partial 16S ribosomal RNA". It matches the Rfam family "Bacterial small subunit ribosomal RNA", at positions 28 to 507 of the family's 1533-position model. The record is from RNAcentral.